Molecule: small RNA, 292 nt
Filed under: Otolemur garnettii (small-eared galago)
Lineage: Eukaryota; Metazoa; Chordata; Mammalia; Primates; Galagidae
Description: Metazoan signal recognition particle RNA (ENSOGAG00000034541.1)
Source: RNAcentral
CUUGCACUGUGGCAUGUGCCUGUAGUCUGAGCUAUCUGGGAAGCUGAGGCAGGAGGAUUGUUUGAGUGAUCCUACAGGAGUUCUGGGCUGUGGUGUAUUCUAUGAGUAUCCAUACCAAGUUUAGCAGUAAUAUGGUGACCUCCCAGGAGUGAGAGACCACCAGGUUGCCUGAGUGGGAGUGAACCUACCCAUGUUGGGAACAGAGAAAGUCUAAACUCCCAGGCUGAUCAUACCUGUGAAUAGCCACUGCUUUCUAGCCUAGAUCUUGUCCCUUAAGAAAAAAAGUCAUGUU